ACCCAGCUGAAGAGUCCCAAAUAGGACGAAACGCUCAUCAAACUGGAU
Schistosoma mansoni is the source of this 48-nucleotide non-coding RNA. NCBI's taxonomy places the organism in Eukaryota, Metazoa, Platyhelminthes, Trematoda, Strigeidida, Schistosomatidae. The record is from Rfam.